RNAcentral lists this long non-coding RNA (380 nucleotides) under Marmota monax (woodchuck). Lineage: Eukaryota; Metazoa; Chordata; Mammalia; Rodentia; Sciuridae. The record is from RNAcentral.
AGGAGCUGCCUUCAUCGCAGUCACGCCCCUUCCUUCCGAGGAGCUUUCUGGCUGCCUAAACUGGUAGACCCCUGAAUUACUCCUCCAUCUCUUCUCUUUUGCCUCCUCUCCUCUUAGUUCCUACCGCCUCCCCCACACUGCCACCACCUCCAGUCUGUCUAGCUUCCCACCAUCCGCUGCUCCACCCUCCGGCCCGGUAUCCUGCCUGUCCACUGCCGCCAAGGAGAUCCCGGACGGAGCAGCGAGGAGGGGAGCAGCCAGGAGUUGGGGCUUCCCCCCUGCCCAUCCCUGGCCUCUGGCCCGGGACCGAAGCCACUUCAGCUAGCAGAGAGUCGUCAUCUUCAUUGCCUUCAGGGGUAGGAGACGCGUGGUUACUUUUC